Molecule: ribosomal RNA, 201 nt
Filed under: Clostridioides difficile
Lineage: Bacteria; Bacillati; Bacillota; Clostridia; Peptostreptococcales; Peptostreptococcaceae
Description: partial 16S ribosomal RNA
Rfam family: Bacterial small subunit ribosomal RNA
Source: RNAcentral
GAUGACGUCAAAUCAUCAUGCCCCUUAUGCUUAGGGCUACACACGUGCUACAAUGGGUAGUACAGAGGGUUCCCAAGCCGUAAGGUGGAGCUAAUCCCUUAAAGCUACUCUCAGUUCGGAUUGUAGGCUGAAACUCGCCUACAUGAAGCUGGAGUUACUAGUAAUCGCAGAUCAGAAUGCUGCGGUGAAUGCGUUCCCGGG